UGUGCUUGAUUUAGGAAGAAGAAAAGCAGUGAACAUUUGACGAAUGUUCAGACAUGGAAGGAACUUGAACUGCGAUUGAAAUACAAGAGAACAAUUGAUGAAGAACACUUGCACUUGAUUAGGCAAGAAGAAAAGUAUUGGCAGCAAAUACUAAAAUGUCUGAUUGCUUUGGUCAGAGUUCUUGGUGUGCAAAACCUGGCCUUUCGGGGAACACAUGAAAAACUGCACUCUUCUGGUAAUGGGAAUUUCCUCAAAUUUGUCGAAUAUCUAUCUUUGUUUGACCCACUUAUGGAUGAGCAUCUUUGCAGGAUUAAGGACCAGGAGAUGCACGUACAUUACCUAGGGAAAGACAUACAGAAUGAGCUUAUUCAGCUUCUAUCCAAUGCCAUCAAACAAAAAAUCCUAGCAUCUGCUCGUGCUGCAAAAUACUUUUCAAUCAUUCUAGAUUGUACACCAGAUGCAGGCCACGUUGAACAAAUGACCAUGAUCAUUCGGUUUGUGGAUAAGCCUACUUCAGAGACUGAGAAUGAGACUGAAUCAGUAUGCAUAAAGGAACACUUCUUGGGAUUUGUGUCGCUUACGGAGACAACUGGAGCUGGUAUGACAGAAAAUAUUCUUCACCAGUUAGAAGAGAUGUCACUGCCUAUAGAAAACUUGCGUGGUCAAGGCUACGACAACGGGAGCAAUACGAAAGGGAAAGAAAAUGGUGUCCAGCGAAGAAUUCUGGAUAUUAAUCCACGAGCCUUUUUUGUUCCUUGCAGUGCACAUUCAUUGAAUUUGGUUGUUAAUGAUGCUGCAAAGUGUUGCUUGGAGGCAACUGCCUUCUUUGAUUUAAUUCAAUGUGUGUAUGUGUAUUUCU
Molecule: non-coding RNA, 859 nt
Organism: Chelonoidis abingdonii (Abingdon island giant tortoise)
Lineage: Eukaryota; Metazoa; Chordata; Testudines; Testudinidae
Source: RefSeq, a predicted model, not a curated record